UAAAAACUAAAAAAAAAAAUUCAAAUCAAGUGAAAUACAUAAUCAAACUCGAUUUUACACAAACCUACCAUUCACCCUAACAAAAUCUAUAAAUCUCAUUCCAAAAUCAUCAAAUCUACUUAAAAACCAUACAAAUCUAACCUAAAAGAGUGGGAUAGGGUUCAUACAUGAGGAUUAGGGUGGAAAUCGCGAGGGAGAAGAGAGAAAGCGCCGUAAAUCGCAAGGGAGAAGAGAGGAGUCGACGAAAUCGCAGGGGAAAGAGAGAGUGCGGCGGAGAGAAAUGGGGAAGAAGGUCGGGCUCGACCUAAUAAAAUGAGGGGUCCGACGGAAAUUAUCCGUCGGAAUUUCCUCNNNN
Molecule: long non-coding RNA, 355 nt
Filed under: Brassica napus (rape)
Lineage: Eukaryota; Viridiplantae; Streptophyta; Magnoliopsida; Brassicales; Brassicaceae
Description: long non-coding RNA (BNAP_LNC000303)
Source: RNAcentral